AGGACAGAUGUGCAGAUGGGAGGGAGUCAGAAGGAACAAAGAAAAUGGGCUGCUGACAAGACUGCUGCAGUGACAAGAGGCUGCAGCAAAUAGUUCAUUUUACAUAGAUUUGAUGGCCCCAACUUCAUCUCCCUAUGGUAGAACUGCUCAUCUUCUCAAAGUAUUCAUGGCUUCGUCUUAUUGGAAGAAUGUAACGAAUCUUAGAAUCCCUAAAGUUGGAAGGGAUCUCUGAAGGCCAUCUAGUCCAACUCCAAUGCAACGAACAAGGACACCACAGGUAGAUCAGGCUGCCCAGGGCCCGAUCUAGCCUUGCCUUGAAAGUCCUCAGGGAUGGGGCAUCCACCACAUCUCUGGGCAACCUGUUCCAGUGCCUCACCACCCUCAUUAUAAAAGACUUUUUCCUUUUAUCCAACCUGAAUCUACCCUUUUUGAGCUUGAAGUGUUUUCCCCUUUUUCUGUCACCACAGAAUUUGCAAAAGAGUCUGUCCCCUUCUUUCCUGUAGUUUUGAAGGGAACUAUACAAUAAAUGACUCAAUAUACAGAUGUUAUAAAUAAACAAUUACAAUUUUUCUUCUUUAUUACAAUUACUUUUUAUUUGUCUGACAUCAUUCUAUCCUGCUUGUGUAAGCCAUAUUAGAGACUUCUGUUUUAUUUGUGAGUUGAGAUUAUUAUAAUCAACGUUCAAAAUCCCUCCUUGGCUGUUCUAGAAAUAAUUUUAUAAUAGUGAUACCAAACAUAAAAUAAAUGUGCAGUUUUAUUGAUCUCUCCAUUUUUUUCUAGUUACCUGUAUAUACUAUAUUUUUGCAACAGCUGAGAAAAAAAAGAUUUAAAUAGGAAACAUUUGUUAAUAUUAUACAAGAUAAAAAAGUUUUCACAUUAUUUCCAAAGCAAUAAAUGAAGUUAGCUUACAGUUACAUUUGCUAUAAUAUGCAAUAUAACAUCUAACUAAAAGAUGAAAUAUGGGCAUAGUCAAUAUUCUUCAAUAUUUCAGGUACUCCAGGAUGCAAUUCAGAUACUUUGAUAACAAAUGUGAGCUUUAAAUAUAUGUCAAAAUCCAGAUGAUUUUGAAACACAAAGCCUUGAAAGAUAUGGAAUGAUAAAUUAAUUUUUGUGAAUAUACUGAAACUGUUCUAAUUCAUAUACUGUAGAGAUGAAGCAUACAAAACUAUUAUACAUCUGGUAAUGUAAGAUUCUCCUGUUUUGAAUGUUGUGCGUUAUGCAUUACAGACAUUGUAACAACAUAUGAACACUGUGGGCAGACUAUAAUGUGAUUAUAUACCAGAUUUGGAUGUACAGACCUGACACUCAUAUUAAUUUUUUUUUUUUUUUUUAAGUUAACACCCUGGAACUAUGAAUCUUCAUUGCAUUAGAAAGUAAUGCCCUUUAACUCCUUGGUGUAAGAGUCUGUUAACUGCAGACACAGAAAGACUCGCACAUCAAGGCAGGGCACUUGACCUGUUAUAUAUAACAAAGAGACAGAGUUUGGUGAAGAUGCUUAGCAAAACUUUACUUAAAUAAACUAUUUAAUUGGAAUGUCUUUAAUUUCAUUAAAAAAAUGAUAAUAGUAAAGAGUAAAAAUUUUUGGAGCUGUGGGAACAGCUGAACUAAUGAAUUAUACUGUGAUGCAAUAGCAGACCAGUGUGUAAAUAGAAGUAAACAGAAAAAUGUAGUCUUAGGAGAAGAGAGGGAAGAAGAUGAUAGUGGAAAUAUGAAAGUGCUUGUGAAUGCUCUAAAUGUCUCAGAAUUACUGAGAACAGACAGUGGUGAAAUGGUGGGAAUACUAAAAAAAUAAGAAAAAGAAUGGAAAAGAAAAAGCACAUGUGCAGCGUCUGACAGUUUGCACAGCUACAAGUGUCCUCACUACUGAUAAAAAGAAACAUGCAAACUACAAGUAAGUUGUUUUAUCAUCAACUGCACUGCUGCUGAAAGAACAGAAAGAGCUUUUCUCCUGCACUUUGCACUGCUUAUAAUUUGCCUCCCCAUCUGGAGGCUGAGAUGUACUGUAGUACUGUUUUUUCAAGCUUUCUUCUGACCUUUGGAGAUCUGUGUUCUUUUAAUUAUCUUGUUCUCCAUUGGGACAAUGAAUUAACUGAGUUGUCCAACUGAAACAAGAGACAGAACUAAUGUUAGCAAGAAGAGUACUAUCACUUGUUCACUCAGAAACUGCAUACAUUGCACUUGCACUCAGUCCUCAUUCCUGUGCUGUAUGUUUUUGGUUUAUUUGUUUGUUUGUUGUUUUUUUAAGAAAUAUUUUCAAAUAAUUAUUUAAAAAUAUAUUU
Long non-coding RNA from Gallus gallus (chicken), 2279 nucleotides. The record is from Ensembl. NCBI's taxonomy places the organism in Eukaryota, Metazoa, Chordata, Aves, Galliformes, Phasianidae.